UUCAUACCAAACCCUAAUUAAGUGCUUCUUAAACCUAAGUCUUCCUAAAAACUUGAAUUCACCUUGUGCUCUUUUACUGAUAACAGCGUCGAGAAGAGUGCUUGCCUCCAUAGGCCGCUUCCUCCAUCGCCUACUGGAAUCCCGUUGUCCCUCUUCUCGUAGUCUUCUGGUUCUUCACUACCCAUCCUUUCUGAAACUAUUAGGUUCUUUUAUCGUGCGGAAGUUGCUGAUGAAGCUCCAGUCUCGGUUCUGACUGUUCCAGCAAUCCUCUUUCACACUAACUUCUUGCAAAAUUUAGUGGAAGACACUACACUCUCAUCUCAAUUAUGGCUAAUCUUGAAUCAAACCAUAGUCUACCAGACUAUGCGCUAUAAGUGAACUCAUGCGGGUGAAUUGUGCAAGUAUGCUCAAUAACCCAAUCAACUAAUUGGUUAAACUACAAUACUUAUUACUAAGCGAGAAUAAUUUCUCUAACUCUAGAAAACGUUGUUGCGUCUUGCUGUGCUUUCUUUCUAUCUCUACACUUAUUCAAAAAAUUUAGUUGGGUGUCAUAACUUGGAACUCGGUGGAUUAUCGAUUUUUUGGAUGUCUUAAAUCACCGUGAUCUGCCUUUUCCAACUCCUCCAUUUGCGUUGAUCCUUGGCCAAGGGACGUAACCACACAUAUGCCGUACAUCAAUCAAAUGCAAGGUAACUCUUUUAACAAAAGCGACCAACUAUGACGUCGCUUUGUCAUCGACCUCCAGACUAGAUCUGAACAGCCAAAUACCAC
This 771-nucleotide long non-coding RNA is filed under the name Physcomitrium patens. Its description in RNAcentral is "long non-coding RNA (PPAT_LNC000253)". Lineage: Eukaryota; Viridiplantae; Streptophyta; Bryopsida; Funariales; Funariaceae. The record is from RNAcentral.